UACGAAGGGGGCUAGCGUUGCUCGGAAUCACUGGGCGUAAAGCGCACGUAGGCGGAUUGUUAAGUCAGGGGUGAAAUCCUGGAGCUCAACUCCAGAACUGCCUUUGAUACUGGCGAUCUUGAGUCCGGAAGAGGAGAGUGGAAUUCCUGGUGUAGCGGUGAAAUGCGCAGAUAUCAGGAAGAACACCCGUGGCGAAGGCGGCUCUCUGGGACGGUACUGACGCUGAGACGCGAAAGCGUGGGGAGCGAACAGG
Molecule: ribosomal RNA, 253 nt
Filed under: uncultured bacterium
Lineage: Bacteria
Description: partial 16S ribosomal RNA
Rfam family: Bacterial small subunit ribosomal RNA
Source: RNAcentral